GACGAACGCUGGCGGCGUGCCUAAUACAUGCAAGUCGAACGAGAGCGACCGGUGCUUGCACUGGUCAAUCUAGUGGCGAACGGGUGAGUAACACGUGGGUAACCUGCCCAUCAGAGGGGGAUAACAUCCGGAAACGGAUGCUAAAACCGCAUAGGUCUUCGAGCCGCAUGGCUUGAAGAGGAAAAGAGGCGCAAGCUUCUGCUGAUGGAUGGACCCGCGGUGCAUUAGCUAGUUGGUGAGGUAACGGCUCACCAAGGCCGUGAUGCAUAGCCGACCUGAGAGGGUGAUCGGCCACAUUGGGACUGAGACACGGCCCAAACUCCUACGGGAGGCAGCAGUAGGGAAUCUUCCGCAAUGGACGCAAGUCUGACGGAGCAACGCCGCGUGAGUGAAGAAGGUUUUCGGAUCGUAAAACUCUGUUGUUAGAGAAGAACAAGUGCUGGAGUAACUGUUAGCGCCUUGACGGUAUCUAACCAGAAAGCCACGGCUAACUACGUG
Molecule: ribosomal RNA, 498 nt
Filed under: uncultured bacterium
Lineage: Bacteria
Description: partial 16S ribosomal RNA
Rfam family: Bacterial small subunit ribosomal RNA
Source: RNAcentral